RNAcentral lists this ribosomal RNA (691 nucleotides) under uncultured fungus. RNAcentral describes it as "eukaryotic LSU rRNA". The stretch from base 246 to 399 matches the Rfam family "5.8S ribosomal RNA". Lineage: Eukaryota; Fungi. The record is from RNAcentral.
CUUGGUCAUUUAGAGGAAGUAAAAGUCGUAACAAGGUUUCCGUAGGUGAACCUGCGGAAGGAUCAUUAAUGAAGUCUGGGCUCCGGCCCUCUCUCUUCUACACACUUGUGAACUUACACUGUUGCUUUGGCAGGUCUCCGGAGGGGGUUCCAAACCCUCGAAGGUCAGGUNGAAAGACGCUUGCCAAAGACAUUUAUCCACCCUUUUUUAAUUGUNUGAUUUUUGUUUUAAACAAACCAUAAAAAAACUUUCAACAAUGGAUCUCUUGGCUCUGGCAUCGAUGAAGAACGCAGCGAAAUGCGAUAAGUAAUGUGAAUUGCAGAAUUCAGUGAAUCAUCGAAUCUUUGAACGCACCUUGCGCUCGCUGGUAUUCCGGCGAGCAUGCCUGUUUGAGUGUCAUGAAUUCUUCAACCCUUCGGUUCCUUGUUGAACUCGUGAGGUGUUUGGAUUUUGAGCGGUUGCUGGUCUUUUCGGAGAUGAAGCUCGUUCGUAAUACAUUAGCAAACUAAACCUGAAUUGUUCGGAUUGACUNGGCGUAAUAGACUUUAUUCGCUGAGGACACCUCUAGUGGGUGGCCGAAUAUCGAGAUAUAGUAGCUUCUAACUCUACAAUUUGAAGUCAAAUUUAUAAGAUUAGACCUCAGAUCAGGCAGGACUACCCGCUGAANUUAAGCAUAUCAAUAAGCGGAGGA